GACGAACGCUGGCGGCGCGCCUAACACAUGCAAGUCGAACGAGCGAGAGAGAGCUUGCUUUCUUGAGCGAGUGGCGAACGGGUGAGUAACGCGUGAGGAACCUGCCUCAAAGAGGGGGACAACAGUUGGAAACGACUGCUAAUACCGCAUAAGCCCACGGUGCCGCAUGGCACAGAGGGAAAAGGAGCAAUCCGCUUUGAGAUGGCCUCGCGUCCGAUUAGCUAGUUGGUGAGGUAACGGCCCACCAAGGCGACGAUCGGUAGCCGGACGGAGAGGUUGAACGGCCACAUUGGGACUGAGACACGGCCCAGACUCCUACGGGAGGCAGCAGUGGGGAAUAUUGCACAAUGGGGGAAACCCUGAUGCAGCGACGCCGCGUGGAGGAAGAAGGUCUUCGGAUUGUAAACUCCUGUUGUUGGGGAAGAUAAUGACGGUACCCAACAAGGAAGUGACGGCUAACUACGUG
This 466-nucleotide ribosomal RNA is filed under the name uncultured bacterium. RNAcentral describes it as "partial 16S ribosomal RNA". It matches the Rfam family "Bacterial small subunit ribosomal RNA", at positions 28 to 507 of the family's 1533-position model. The record is from RNAcentral.